UACAGAGGUCUCAAGCGUUGUUCGGAUUCAUUGGGCGUAAAGGGUGUGUAGGUGGCGCGCUAAGUCGGGUGUGAAAUUUCGGAGCUUAACUCCGAAACUGCAUUCGAUACUGGCGUGCUUGAGGACUGGAGAGGAGACUGGAAUUCAUGGUGUAGCAGUGAAAUGCGUAGAUAUCGAGAGGAACACCUGCGGCGAAGGCGGGUUGCUGGGCUGACACUGACGCUGAAGCGCGAAAGCUAGGGGAGCGAACGGG
RNAcentral lists this ribosomal RNA (253 nucleotides) under uncultured bacterium. RNAcentral describes it as "partial 16S ribosomal RNA". It matches the Rfam family "Bacterial small subunit ribosomal RNA", at positions 524 to 776 of the family's 1533-position model. The record is from RNAcentral.